GUGGGGAAUAUUGGACAAUGGGCGAAAGCCUGAUCCAGCCAUGCCGCGUGUGUGAAGAAGGUCUUCGGAUUGUAAAGCACUUUAAGUUGGGAGGAAGGGCAGUAAGUUAAUACCUUGCUGUUUUGACGUUACCGACAGAAUAAGCACCGGCUAACUUCGUGCCAGCAGCCGCGGUAAUACGAAGGGUGCAAGCGUUAAUCGGAAUUACUGGGCGUAAAGCGCGCGUAGGUGGUUUUGUAAGUUGGAGGUGAAAUCCCCGGGCUCAACCUGGGAACUGCCUCCAAAACUGCAUGACUAGAGUACGGUAGAGGGUAGUGGAAUGUCCGGUGUAGCGGUGAAAUGCGUAGAUAUAGGAAGGAACACCAGUGGCGAAGGCGACUACCUGGACUGAUACUGACACUGAGGUGCGAAAGCGUGGGGAGCAAACAGGAUUAGAAACCCCUGUAGUCC
Molecule: ribosomal RNA, 450 nt
Filed under: uncultured bacterium
Lineage: Bacteria
Description: bacterial SSU rRNA
Rfam family: Bacterial small subunit ribosomal RNA
Source: RNAcentral